UGGAUUCUUGUGCUUCUUUCUUUCCAAAUAAGAUAAACUGCCGCCUGAAAAAUGAUCUUACACAAUACCUUAAGCUUUGCAUUAGUCGUAAAGGACCUGAGCCACACUAGAUUAUGCUCAAAGCUACUAGGUGGUGAGAAUGGAACUGCUUGAAACAACAAAUUCCAAAGAUCCAGCGAGAAUGAACAAGCGAAGAAUAAG
This 201-nucleotide long non-coding RNA is filed under the name Brassica rapa (field mustard). RNAcentral's name for it is "long non-coding RNA (BRAP_LNC002362)". The record is from RNAcentral. Lineage: Eukaryota; Viridiplantae; Streptophyta; Magnoliopsida; Brassicales; Brassicaceae.